AAAAGCUCGUAGUUGGAUUUCUGGCAGGAACGUCCGGUCUCACACUCAGUGCGGGAACUUGGAUGUCUCUGGCCAUCUUUGGGGAUAUCCUGUUUGGCAUUAAGUUGUCGGGCAGGGGACACCCAUCGUUUACUGUGAAAAAAUUAGAGUGUUUAAAGCAGGCUUAUGCCGUUGAAUAUAUUAGCAUGGAAUAAUAAGAUAGGACGUAGGUACUAUUUUGUUGGUUUGCGCACCCACGUAAUGAUUAAUAGAGACAGGCGGGGCUAUUCGUAUUGCAUUGUCAGAGGUGAAAUUCUUGGAUUUCUGCAAGACGAACUACUGCGAAAGCAUUUAGCAAGGAUGUUUUCAUUAAUCAAGAACGAAAGUUAGGGGAUCGAAGAUGAUUAGAUACCAUCGUAGUCUUAACCAUAAACUAUGCCGACUCGGGAUUGGCAGUUGUUUUUUGACUC
This 449-nucleotide ribosomal RNA is filed under the name uncultured diatom. Its description in RNAcentral is "SSU rRNA". It matches the Rfam family "Eukaryotic small subunit ribosomal RNA", at positions 622 to 1077 of the family's 1831-position model. The record is from RNAcentral. Lineage: Eukaryota; Bacillariophyta.